UAGAGGAGUGACUGCAUGGGAAUUGAUUUAUAACAGCCAACUUCCAUGUCAUCUCUUUGAAUUACUGAACUUUUUUUGAAGAUGAAUGGAACAUUUCAUUUUUUUAUUGAAACCAACGAAGUGGAAUAAAAGGUUUUAAGAUGGAGAGAAUUAGGAUCAAAUGUCUGGCAGAGGCAUCACUUCACACAGCUAAUUGCCCUGAUCUCACUGUACAGUAGAGUUAAUGAAAACAAGAGACAGAUUCAUCAUGGCAUCUCUGAGCGGUCCUUUUUAGGGUCCUUAGAGAGCUUAGCCAGAAGAAACCUGUGUGAACAUUAAUGGGUUGUCUCUUACAAUAAACAACAACAACAACAAAACACUUGUUUUUUAUCGCACAGCAUGGGGUCAUAAGUAUCUGCUGGCAAUAACUCAAGAUGAUGCAUACAAGUUAAUUUUAUACAUCCCCACGAUAUGUAGUUAGUUUAAUACAGUAACUAUUCUGAAGCAACAUUCAUAUGAACUAGGUGAGGAACCCCAGUUAGCUAUAAUAGUAUUUUCUUCUACCCUUGUGUCGACUGUGUGCUUUGACAUGGGACUGGUUAAGGAUCAGGUGCCCACUGUCUACGGCUCGAAUUAUGUGCCUGAACUGACUUACACAACUCCUACCCAUCAACUGCUUAUUGACCAUGGAUGCCCCUUGACCACCAUGGAUGCUGGACCUCCUACAUAUGACAAAACAUCAUCACAGCCUCAAGCCCAGAUCCUGACAGUUACAGCUGUUAAAUGGGGGAGACGUGACCAUAGGGUGCCCCCUUCACCAGCAGGUGCAUUUCAACACGUUUGACUUCCUCCCUCCAUAGGCCCAGAGGGGGCUGAAGUCUACUUAACCACACCCCAUAGAGCACUGAGCAUCCCAUCCUCCUUCUCCUUUCCCCUCUGUUCUCUCUCCUUCCAUCCCCAUCCCCAUCCCCCCAUCCAUCCAUCCAUCCAUCCAUCCAUCCAUGCAGAGCACUAGACUGUGGUGUCUGCGUUGGCACUGGCCUCUGACCUGAGGCAGGGCACCUCAUGCCCACAUGCCUCUUCCUUCCCAGGCAGCAAGAAAUAGUCCGGCCGUUGCUGGGGAAAUGGAUGAGUCACUCCUACAAGAAUUGUAGGAGCAAGGAGCAGCUGGGUAUAUAAGCGAAUACACACACAAUAUAAAUGUACCUUUCUGUAACAUGGUUGUGAUGACAAAGCUAUGAUGUCAUUAUGUGUUAUUAGGGUUUGUAUUUUUUCUUAUCUUUUAACACAUUGUAAAUGUUUUACACCAUUUUUCUCAUCAUGGUUAUAAUUAGCAAAUUCUAAAAUUUUAUAGGGGCCAUUUAAAGUUGAGCUAGUCUUCCUGGGCUAAAUUAGUUAAGCUUCAAUUUUGGGCUGUCUUCAAUCUGUAUCGCUGAAGCGUUACAGAUUGUGCAGUAGAAAUGUAAAGGUAAUUUCCAAUUGAGCUGACAUACGCAGUGUUUACCAAGAAUGCAGUCUCCACUAACGCGGGAACAUUACCUUUAAAUUUCUAUCAUGCUGUAACGCUGAAGUUCCGCGAUACGGAUUGAAUAGAGCCCUAAGGCUAAUAUUCUAUCCAAUUAUACUAGUUAUAAUUUAGCUUUAAUUAACAAGCACUGUAUUGCCUAAUGUCAUAGUUAUUCACACACACUCAAACAUGCUUACCGCUGAGGUAUAACCCUAGACUAUGUUGCGUAAAUAUGCUGGCUCACACUAACUUGGGAGCUCUAUAAUUCAUAAGCAUCAUUGCCUUUGUAAAUAUUUAAAGGCUUAUGAAUCCAACAUUUCACAUAUCGUGAUAUACCCAUGUAUAAAUUGACAAAUGACCUAGCGGGAUAACUAAAAUAUAGUCAGACUUCAGUGGGUGUUUUUAUAUGUUGUUGCCAUGGUAACACCCUCCAUAGAUCACCUCACUUUUGUGGUGUUCUCUGGCUCUGGGUCGUCGUCAGACGCUAAGCAUCCCAGCUCUCUUCCUCUGCAGAGUGUUGCAUUUCCCAACGAGGCUACGCUGCAUGUUUGUUUAUUCGGAGAUAUGAGAAUCCUACUUGACUUCAAUGCUGCCGGACAUCUUAUGCACUCCCUUCCCUCCUGAUUCACAGCGGCUCCCCUAACCCGGUGGCUUGUUUGUGUUUGUCUCUGCAGACUCCCAGGAAAUGUCCAUCCUUCCUCGGCCCCCAGGAAUAUAUAGUCUCAUUAAAGCAGACUUCCUAUAUCCUGAGUCAGCAGAGACAGUAUGGGUGACUAGGGACUAAGGACUGUGACUUUAUAAAAGCACCCACAGGGAACCCAUAAAGACUACAUGGGGGCUAGGAGGGAUAUUAUGGAGGAAGUGGGACUCGAGAGGUGACAGUAACAGACAUCAUAUUUAUGACUUCAACAAAUAAUACCAUAUCUUAUCCAAGGUUACUUGUAGUUGACUUUAUUUGGAAUGUGCUGUGACUCAUGACACACAAAUGACAUAGAAAGUGAAACCACACUAUGAAAAGAGCAACAUCCUUCUGGAGUUCUGUACGUCUUGUUUUGAAAUGGAUUUCUGACAGCGAUUCACACAUUCAUUGCAAUGAAUGAAUGGAUAUUUAUCGACUUCGUUGACUCUGAACAAUUGGAUUCUACUUUUCUGUGCAUCCAGUUGCAGUGUUGUAAGUUCUGAUACCUCCCUGUAGGUGUCAGGGUUACCGCUAUGAAAUACUGAUUAACAGAAAGGCUAUUGGCUAAAUACAGUCACAAUGUUCAUUCACAAAAGCAUUCUAUAACAAUUACUUCAUACAGAAUACUGCACAGAGUCACAUCACUGCAACUGUUUUAAAUGAAAUUUCUAGGGGUGGGGAAAUACUUAUUGUCUUGACUUUCCAUAAAUGUAUGACCUACUUAGAAAACAUAUCUUGUUUAAAAAAGGAAAUGUAACAUUUUCAGUGUUUGUGUCAUCAUGAUUGCAGUGUACAGUACAAACACUAUGAGGGUUAUUGACACAAUUUAUAUUUUGAAACUGAUAUUUGAGGUUCAUUAUUAUUUUGUUCCCAUGCUAGAUUAACCAAAACACACACACACACACACACAAACAAACAAACAAACAAACAAACACAGACACACAGACACACAGACACACAUUGUGGAACGUGGCAUGCAUUACAGGAGCCAGGAUUCAAUACUUGUAUCUUAUAAGGAUAAUGGCUGUGUACACAUCAGUAAAUUAGACCAGCUCUGUUGUUCAUAAUGCUCCUCAUUACCAGUAGUCCCAACAUUCAAGCCAUGUGUGCAUGCUCAUUGCAAAGACAUCUUAAUAUGGAAAACACUUCAAUGCAGCUGGUGAGAGACCACAUGACAGUUCAACCAUGAUCAUUUUCUUGUGUUCUCAAUUUCUAUUGUGAUAUUUUGAUUUAGUAUAAACUUACCUAGCUUGUUUGCAUGUAUUGUAUCACUUCCAUCCCAACAUUCUGUUACUCGACAACUCUGCAAGCUGCGUUCCAGUAAGGGAUAAAUAACGUAAUAUUCAUGAUCUUAUUUUAUUGAAUAUUGAUUGGAUGAUGAAUUACUUUGUUCAUGAACAAAGAUGUAGAACUAAUGUUUACUCGUAUGAGGAAUGUUUUUUGUAAACUUUUUAUCGAUCGUGUACAUUUUUCAAAUGUUUUAGUAAUUCAGUCAGUGCAGAAACAUUGCUGUUAAAGUCGAUGUCGUUUCUUUUUUUUUUACACACUCUUGCAAGCGAACAGAAAAACUUAGCAGUAAACAUGUUUUUACCUGCAUAAUAAAAAAAUCGAUAUUGUCUGUUAACCUCAUGAUUUACCAUCCUGUAUAAUUCAAUUAAAUUGAUAAGAAUGUGAAAAUGA
This is a long non-coding RNA of Coregonus clupeaformis (lake whitefish), 3845 nucleotides long. RefSeq lists it as uncharacterized. The record is from RefSeq and is a predicted model, not a curated record. NCBI's taxonomy places the organism in Eukaryota, Metazoa, Chordata, Actinopteri, Salmoniformes, Salmonidae. The transcript has 2 exons.